AUAAGAUUAAGUUAGGUUAGACUGAAUGUUUUCAAAACAUUAAGUGACUUUAUGUUAGGUCAUCUUAUG
This 69-nucleotide transfer RNA is filed under the name Taenia saginata (beef tapeworm). RNAcentral's name for it is "tRNA-Trp". Lineage: Eukaryota; Metazoa; Platyhelminthes; Cestoda; Cyclophyllidea; Taeniidae. The record is from RNAcentral.